RNAcentral lists this ribosomal RNA (374 nucleotides) under uncultured bacterium. RNAcentral's name for it is "bacterial SSU rRNA". It matches the Rfam family "Bacterial small subunit ribosomal RNA", at positions 28 to 393 of the family's 1533-position model. The record is from RNAcentral.
GAUGAACGCUAGCUACAGGCUUAACACAUGCAAGUCGAGGGGCAGCAUGGUCUUAGCUUGCUAAGGCCGAUGGCGACCGGCGCACGGGUGAGUAACACGUAUCCAACCUGCCGUCUACUCUUGGACAGCCUUCUGAAAGGAAGAUUAAUACAAGAUGGCAUCAUGAGUUCACAUGUUCACAUGAUUAAAGGUAUUCCGGUAGACGAUGGGGAUGCGUUCCAUUAGAUAGUAGGCGGGGUAACGGCCCACCUAGUCUUCGAUGGAUAGGGGUUCUGAGAGGAAGGUCCCCCACAUUGGAACUGAGACACGGUCCAAACUCCUACGGGAGGCAGCAGUGAGGAAUAUUGGUCAAUGGGCGAGAGCCUGAACCAGCC